UUUCAAUUUAAUAGAAUUUGGAACUAUCGUUCCUGAUAGUUGCUAUCUCCAGUGGAGUCUGCGCAUAGAGAGUGGAGAGAAGAGGAGCUCGUCCCCUUGUGAAAUCAACUGCAGAGCAAGCAGGAAGGGAUUUAGGGGAUUUUUCGAGCGAUUAUGACUGAUUCCAUAUCCCAGAGAUAGGCAUCGAUUCUGGAGUUCAAAUCUUCGAGCUUCAACGUUUUGAGGAGAAAUUUCUUCGUAACCCUCAAAUAUUCCCCCAAUCGCAGAUCAGAGCACGGUUCACUCCUUUGCCCAGUUCGUCGGCUUCUUCACCUGAGAAUCAGGUAAAUGUUCUCUAUUAACUCCUUCGCCCAAAUCUGAUAUCUGUUAGAUAAAGUUUAUGUAAUUUUUCAAUGGGUCUAUGGUCUUGUGAAUUUUUCCUAUGCUGAAGUUUGUCAAUCAAAUGAGCUUUUCUACUGAAAUACUGACUCCGC
Long non-coding RNA from Macadamia integrifolia, 473 nucleotides. RefSeq lists it as uncharacterized. The record is from RefSeq and is a predicted model, not a curated record. The transcript is spliced from 3 exons. Lineage: Eukaryota; Viridiplantae; Streptophyta; Magnoliopsida; Proteales; Proteaceae.